Molecule: ribosomal RNA, 790 nt
Rfam family: 5.8S ribosomal RNA (bases 188-342)
UCCUUCUUAUGCGGGCGGCGGCUGGCUGGCUUUAUUGGUGGCGGCUGCUGCUGGAAUCAGCUCCUAACAAAAAAAAAGGCGAACGUUUGGGCUUCGGCCUGAUUUAGUAGUCUUUUUUUCUUUUAAACCCAUUCCUUAAUACUGAAUAUACUGUGGGGACGAAAGUCUCUGCUUUUAACUAGAUAGCAACUUUCAGCAGUGGAUGUCUAGGCUCGCACAUCGAUGAAGAACGCUGCGAACUGCGAUACGUAAUGCGAAUUGCAGGAUUCAGUGAGUCAUCGAAAUUUUGAACGCAUAUUGCACUUCCGGGUUAGUCCUGGAAGUAUGCCUGUAUCAGUGUCCGUACAUUAAACUUGACUUUCUUCCUUCCGUGUAGUCGGUGGAGGAGAUGUCAGAUGUGAAGUGUCUUGCGAUUGGUCUUCGGACCGGCUGCGAGUCCUUUUAAAUGUACUAAACUGAACUUCUCUUUGCUCGAAAAGUGGUGGCGUUGCUGGUUGUGAAGGCUGCUAUUGUGGCAAAUUGGCGACUGGUUUGUCUGCUGCGGCGUUAAUGGAAGAGUGUUCGAUUCGUGGUAUGGUUGGCUUCGGCUGAACAAUGCACUUAUUGGACGUUUUUCCUGCUGUGGCGUGAUGGACUGGUGAACCAUAGCUCGGUGGCUUGGCUUUUGAAUUGGCUUUGCUGUUGCGAAGUAGGGUGGCAGCUUCGGUUGUCGAGGGUCGAUCCAUUUGGGAACUUAAUGUGUACUUCGGUAUGCAUCUCAAUUGGACCUGAAGCAGUCAAGGGCCGCUAC